This 353-nucleotide long non-coding RNA is filed under the name Homo sapiens (human). Its description in RNAcentral is "non-protein coding lnc-ANKRD20A2-22:9". The record is from RNAcentral. Lineage: Eukaryota; Metazoa; Chordata; Mammalia; Primates; Hominidae.
GGAACGCAGCUGCUCACCAGCAACGGAACAAAGCUGGACGGAGAAUGACUUUGAAGAGCUGAGAGAAGGCUUCAGACGAUCAAAUUACUCUGAGCUACGGGAGGACAUUCAAACCAAAGGCAAAGAAGUUGAAAACUUUGAAAAAAAUAAAUGUACAUUAAUUAACGUGGAAUCUGGUGAACAGUAACAAACUUUGGUGAAAUUUCAGGAACCAUAGCCAUUGAAGUGGAUGAGGGAACCUAUAUACAUGCACUCAACAAUGGUCUUUUUACCCUGGGAGCUCCACACAAAGAAGUUGAUGAGGGCCCUAGUCCUCCAGAGCAGUUUAUGGCUGUCAAAUUAUCUGAUUCCAG